This 514-nucleotide ribosomal RNA is filed under the name Kokeshia sp. 1 AK-2015. RNAcentral describes it as "eukaryotic LSU rRNA". It matches the Rfam family "Eukaryotic large subunit ribosomal RNA", at positions 666 to 1139 of the family's 3401-position model. Lineage: Eukaryota; Metazoa; Arthropoda; Insecta; Hemiptera; Schizopteridae. The record is from RNAcentral.
GCCAAGGAGUCUAACAUGUGCGCAAGUCAUUGGGUGAUAAAACCCAAAGGCAUAACGAAAGUAAAGAAAGCUUUGCUUUAUUAGGGAGGAUAGUUAUUUAACUUUUAAGUUAAUGACUCGCACUCCCAGGGCGUUUGUUACUCAUUGCGAGUAAAAGCGCACCUAGAGCGUACACGUUGGGACCCGAAAGAUGGUGAACUAUGCCUGGCCAGGAUGAAGCCAGGGGAAACCCUGGUGGAGGUCCGUAGCGAUUCUGACGUGCAAAUCGAUCGUCAGAGCUUGGUAUAGGUGCGAAAGACUUAUCGAACUAUCUAGUAGCUGGUUCCUUCCGAAGUUUCCCUCAGGAUAGCUGGUGCCAAUGAUGAGACGAGUCUCAUCCGGUAAAGCGAAUGAUUAGAGGCCUUGGGGCCGAAACGACCUCAACCUAUUCUCAAACUUUAAAUGGAUGAGAGCCUUAGCUUGCUUAAAAGUGAAGCUAGGGACUUGGAUCAAGGUGUCAAGUGGGCCAAUUUUG